CAGCCUACUCCCUCGCGCUGCAGUGAGCGUCGGCCUACAGACCUCAGACAUCGUGGAGUAUCUCCAGAAACUCAGCAAGACAUCUGUACCGGACGGCAUCGUGCAGUUCAUCAAGCUCUGCACUGUGAGCUACGGCAAGGUGAAGCUGGUGCUGAAACACAACCGGUACUUUGUGGAGAGUGCGUUCCCAGAGGUGAUCCAACGUCUUCUUCAGGACAGUGUGAUCAGAGAUUGUCGUCUCCGAACCGCAGAGGGAACAGACACCGAGCUCAUCACUGAGGUCGUACACAGCAAGUCAGCGAUCUCUAAGUCCCUCCC
Oncorhynchus nerka (sockeye salmon) is the source of this 318-nucleotide long non-coding RNA. RefSeq lists it as uncharacterized. Lineage: Eukaryota; Metazoa; Chordata; Actinopteri; Salmoniformes; Salmonidae. The record is from RefSeq and is a predicted model, not a curated record. The transcript is spliced from 5 exons.